GGCACUAGCCGUUGGCCCUGGGGGCUGGACAGAAGAAGUUUAACGAGUGCAGUCCAAUUCGCCUUCGUUUUAGGGCUUCACGGCCGCUGCGAGUCUUCAAGAUUUCUCUGCAUCAGCAGAUAGCGUCGGGUUUUUAGCUUCCUUCACUUCAUCCGCGGGACAUGUACGCGCUGCUCUCCCAUUAGGUGAAAAGCGUUCUUUCCAAAUGUAAGAGUUCUUUUGAAAAGCAGAGAUAUCGAAAGGCGGGGUUAAUUAAUCGCUGAGACUUUUAUAUGUUCCCCACCCUCAAAAAAGGAAAAUCAAGAAGAAAGGGAUCGUCUUCCAUCCUACGUUCAGCCUGUUUUUGGGAUAUCGGUCUUCUAUAAAAUCUUCACUACUCCUGACUCCUCAUAUCUCUAAUAAUAUAUAUCCACCAAUUUUGAAGACUAGUGAAGAUUAAAAUGGCUCAGAAAUCAUCAAACUUGAUGGCUUGGCUCGCUCUCUUCUCCUUGCUCCUUGCAGCUCUCUUUGCUGGAGCAGGGUGAGCGUGCGAAUUAAUUACCUUUUUCAUUUCCUCUCUCUCUCUUUGUAAAUGUAUAUAUUUGGGUAGGUUCAUGCAUGCAUGUAUGUAAAAUUUCAGGUGCUGAUGGGGCACAUGAUGAGAUGGGAGUGAAUAAAGAGCAGCAUUAUGGAUAUUGUACUCCUGUUCCAUGCUAUCAUACUCCCGGAGGGCUUUGUUAUUGCUGUCCGAAAUGGGACGGUUGCCCGUUGAACUUUGACACUCAAGCCAAGUGCGAGAAGGAAUGCCCCAAGUAGCUCCCAGGCCAGCCUCUGGCUACCUCCAUUUUCUUCAUCAAACCAGUAGUGCCAUGUUAGGUUUUUGCGUACGUAUUAUGCAAUAAGUGAGUUGAGCAUGCAGAGGGAAUAUAAUGAUCUUUGCUGCAUGCUUUCAUCGUGAAUUAUGUGCUUAGCAUUUCAUAUGAUGGAGCCAUGCAUUUAAUGAUAGUUUGUUUAAAUCUUAAAAUUUUUUAAGAUUUAAAUAUCUUGAGAUUA
Molecule: long non-coding RNA, 1032 nt
Organism: Phalaenopsis equestris
Lineage: Eukaryota; Viridiplantae; Streptophyta; Magnoliopsida; Asparagales; Orchidaceae
Exons: 2
Source: RefSeq, a predicted model, not a curated record